This 384-nucleotide ribosomal RNA is filed under the name Dianous fengtingae. RNAcentral's name for it is "partial 16S ribosomal RNA". Lineage: Eukaryota; Metazoa; Arthropoda; Insecta; Coleoptera; Staphylinidae. The record is from RNAcentral.
UGCCCAAUGAUGUUUUAAAUGGCUGCAGUAUUAUGACUGUACAAAGGUAGCAUAAUCAAUAGUUUCUUAAUUAGAAGCUGGAAUGAAAGGAUUAACAAAAAAUUAACUGUCUCUAUUUGAUUAAUAGAAUUUUAUUUUUAAGUAAAAAAGCUUAAAUUUAGUUAAAAGACGAGAAGACCCUAUAGAGUUUUAUAUUUUUUUAUAGUAAAUUUAUUAUAAUAAAUAUUUUAUUGGGGUGAUAGAAAAAUUUAAUUAACUUUUUUAAUAUAUUAACAAUAAUUUUUGAUUUAUUGAUCCAUUAUUAUGAUUAAAAGAAAAAAUUACCUUAGGGAUAACAGCGUUAUAUUUUUUUAGAGUUCAAAUUAAAAAAAAUGAUUGCGACCU